This 287-nucleotide long non-coding RNA is filed under the name Mytilus galloprovincialis (Mediterranean mussel). The record is from RNAcentral. Lineage: Eukaryota; Metazoa; Mollusca; Bivalvia; Mytilida; Mytilidae.
GGAUUUGUGGAAAUAUAAUGAGGUGCUCUCAAGAGUAGUAGUUCUAUUGGUAAAAUAAUAAUACAAAAAAAAAAAGAAACGUGAUAUGAUUGCCAAUGAACCGAUUAUCUCCCAAAGUCAAAAUGUAGGGGAAAUAGAAAAAAGUAAGAUAAGAAAAAUAGCGUACUCCGAGAAAAAUUCUAAACGUAAAGUCCCUAACCAAAAAGCAAAAUCAAAAGCUCAAACACGUUAAACAAUUGGAUAACAACUGUCAUAUUCCUGACUUGGUACAAGCAUGUUAUUAUCAG